GGCCUUUUGAUGAUAAUUUAAGGUCUAACCUGCCCAAUGAUAUAGUAUUAAAUGGCCGCGGUAUCUUGACCGUGCAAAGGUAGCAUAAUCAUUAGUUUUUUAAUUGAAAGCUUGUAUGAAAGGUUUAAUGAAAAAAUAGCUGUCUCUAUUUAAAUUUUUUAGAAAUUUAUUUUUAAGUUAAAAAGCUUAAAUAAAUAUUAAAGACGAGAAGACCCUAUAGAGUUUUAUAGUUUUAUGGAGUUAUUAUAUUUUAGAAUUUUUUAAUGAUUUUUUAAGAUUAUUUGGUUGGGGUGAUUGAAAAAUUAGUAAAACUUUUUUAUAUUAAAUUUCACUGAUUUGUGAGUUUUUGAUCUUUAUUAAAGAUUAAUAGAUAAAAUUACCUUAGGGAUAACAGCGUAAUUUUUUUUAGAGUUCUUAUCGAAGAAAAAGAUUGCGACCUCGAUGUUGGAUUAAAAUAAGUUGCUGGUGUAGAAGCUGGCAAGCCAGGUCUGUUCGACCUUUAGAUUUUUACAUGAUCUGAGUUUAAACCGGUGUGAG
This 537-nucleotide ribosomal RNA is filed under the name Echinodera brisouti. RNAcentral describes it as "partial 16S ribosomal RNA". It matches the Rfam family "Bacterial large subunit ribosomal RNA", at positions 1827 to 2625 of the family's 2925-position model. Lineage: Eukaryota; Metazoa; Arthropoda; Insecta; Coleoptera; Curculionidae. The record is from RNAcentral.